ACUAUGAUUAAUUUAGGGUUUG
RNAcentral lists this small nuclear RNA (22 nucleotides) under Arabidopsis thaliana (thale cress). RNAcentral describes it as "snRNA_09781". The record is from RNAcentral. Lineage: Eukaryota; Viridiplantae; Streptophyta; Magnoliopsida; Brassicales; Brassicaceae.